AUGUUCUACGGACCAAAGGGGGCUUUUAGCUCUCGNCGUGAAGAGAGGCCCAAGUGAGAUUAGCUAGUUGGUGAGGUAAAGGCUCACCAAGGCGACGAUCUCUAGCUGUUCUGAGAGGAAGAUCAGCCACACUGGGACUGAGACACGGCCCCAGACUCCUACGGGAGGCAGCAGUGGGGAAUAUUGCACAAUGGGGGAAACCCUGAUGCAGCCAUGCCGCGUGUGUGAAGAAGGCCUUCGGGUUGUAAAGCACUCUCAGUUGUGAGGAAAGGUUGGUAGUUAAUACCUGCCAGCUGUGACGUUAACAACAGAAGAAGCACCGGCUAACUCCGUGCCAGCAGCCGCGGUAAUACGGAGGGUGCGAGCGUUAAUCGGAAUUACUGGGCGUAAAGCGCACGCAGGCGGUUUGUUAAGCUAGAUGUGAAAGCCCCGGGCUCAACCUGGGAUGGUCAUUUAGAACUGGCAGACUAGAGUCUUGGAGAGGGGAGUGGAAUUCCAGGUGUAGCGGUGAAAUGCGUAGAGAUCUGGAGGAACAUCAGUGGCGAAGGCGACUCCCUGGCCAAAGACUGACGCUCAUGUGCGAAAGUGUGGGUAGCGAACAGGAUUAGAUACCCUGGUAGUCCACACCGUAAACGCUGUCUACUAGCUGUGUGUGUAUUUUAUANNCGUGCGUAGCGAAGCUAACGCGCUAAGUAGACCGCCUGGGGAGUACGGCCGCAAGGUUAAAACUCAAAUGAAUUGACGGGGGCCCGCACAAGCGGUGGAGCAUGUGGUUUAAUUCGAUGCAACGCGAAGAACCUUACCUACACUUGACAUGCAGAGAACUUUCUAGAGAUAGAUUGGUGCCUUCGGGAACUCUGACACAGGUGCUGCAUGGCUGUCGUCAGCUCGUGUCGUGAGAUGUUGGGUUAAGUCCCGCAACGAGCGCAACCCUUGUCCUUAGUUGCCAGCCUUAAGUUGGGCACUCUAAGGAGACUGCCGGUGACAAACCGGAGGAAGGUGGGGACGACGUCAAGUCAUCAUGGCCCUUACGUGUAGGGCUACACACGUGCUACAAUGGCAUUUACAGAGGGAAGCGAGACAGUGAUGUGGAGCGGACCCCUUAAAGAAUGUCGUAGUCCGGAUUGGAGUCUGCAACUCGACUCCAUGAAGUCGGA
This 1157-nucleotide ribosomal RNA is filed under the name uncultured Alteromonas sp. RNAcentral describes it as "bacterial SSU rRNA". It matches the Rfam family "Bacterial small subunit ribosomal RNA", at positions 189 to 1330 of the family's 1533-position model. Lineage: Bacteria; Pseudomonadati; Pseudomonadota; Gammaproteobacteria; Alteromonadales; Alteromonadaceae. The record is from RNAcentral.